AAGUCCCGCAACGAGCGCAACCCUUAUCUUUAAUUGCCAGCAGUUCAGUUGGGGCACUUUAAAGAGGACUGCCGGUGUUAAACCGGAGGAAGGUGGGAUGACGUCAAGUCCUCAUGGCCUUUAUGCUUAGGGCUACACACGUGCUACAAUGGGUGGUACAAAGAGAAGCCAACUCGCGAGAGCGCGCCAAUCUCAAAAAGCCAUCCUCAGUUCGGGAUUGGAGUCUGCCAACUCGACUCCAUGAAGUUGGAAUCGCUAGUAAUUGCGGAUCAGCAUGCCGCGGUGAAUACGUUCCCGGGCCUU
RNAcentral lists this ribosomal RNA (303 nucleotides) under uncultured Smithella sp. Its description in RNAcentral is "bacterial SSU rRNA". It matches the Rfam family "Bacterial small subunit ribosomal RNA", at positions 1082 to 1382 of the family's 1533-position model. The record is from RNAcentral. Lineage: Bacteria; Pseudomonadati; Thermodesulfobacteriota; Syntrophia; Syntrophales; Smithellaceae.